AGAGUUUGAUCCUGGCUCAGGACGAACGCUGGCGGCGUGCUUAACACAUGCAAGUCGAACGAGAAUCUGAUGACGGAGUUUUCGGACAACUGAUUCAGAGGACAGUGGCGGACUGGUGAGUAACGCGUGAGGAACCCGCCUUUCAGAGAGGAAUAACAUUUGGAAACGAAUGGUAAUACCACAUAACAUUACGUUCUCGCAUGGGGAUGUAAUCAAAGAUUUUAUCGCUGAGAGAUGGACUCGCGUCCGAUUAGCUGGAUGGUGAGGUAACGGCCCACCAUGGCGACGAUCGGUAGCCGGACUGAGAGGUUGAACGGCCACAUUGGGACUGAGACACGGCCCAGACUCCUACGGGAGGCAGCAGUGGGGAAUAUUGCACAAUGGGGGAAACCCUGAUGCAGCAACGCCGCGUAAAGGAAGACGGUCUUCGGAUUGUAAACUUUUGUUCUUGGUGAAGAAGCAAGUGACGGUAGCCAAGGAGGAAGCCACGGCUAACUACGUGCCAGCAGCCGCGGUAAUACGUAGGUGGCAAGCGUUGUCCGGAAUUACUGGGUGUAAAGGGAGCGCAGGCGGGAAAUCAAGUUGGAUGUGAAAUGUCGGGGCUUAACCCCGGAACUGCAUCCAAAACUGAUAUUCUUGAGUGAAGUAGAGGUAGGCGGAAUUCCGAGUGUAGCGGUGAAAUGCGUAGAUAUUCGGAGGAACACCAGUGGCGAAGGCGGCCUACUGGGCUUUAACUGACGCUGAGGCUCGAAAGUGUGGGGAGCAAACAGGAUUAGAUACCCUGGUAGUCCACACUGUAAACGAUGAU
RNAcentral lists this ribosomal RNA (808 nucleotides) under uncultured bacterium. RNAcentral's name for it is "bacterial SSU rRNA". It matches the Rfam family "Bacterial small subunit ribosomal RNA", at positions 8 to 813 of the family's 1533-position model. The record is from RNAcentral.